GACGAACGCUGGCGGCGUGCUUAACACAUGCAAGUCGAACGGAAAGGCCCUGCUUUUGUGGGGUGCUCGAGUGGCGAACGGGUGAGUAACACGUGAGUAACCUGCCCUUGACUUUGGGAUAACUUCAGGAAACUGGGGCUAAUACCGGAUAGGAGCUCCUGCUGCAUGGUGGGGGUUGGAAAGUUUCGGCGGUUGGGGGUGGACUCGCGGCUUAUCAGCUUGUUGGUGGGGUAGUGGCUUAUCAAGGCUUUGACGGGUAGCCGGCCUGAGAGGGUGACCGGCCACAUUGGGACUGAGAUACGGCCCAGACUCCUACGGGAGGCAGCAGUGGGGAAUAUUGCACAAUGGGCGGAAGCCUGAUGCAGCAACGCCGCGUGCGGGAUGACGGCCUUCGGGUUGUAAACCGCUUUCGCCUGUGACGAAGCGUGAGUGACGGUAAUGGGUAAAGAAGCACCGGCUAACUACGUG
RNAcentral lists this ribosomal RNA (468 nucleotides) under uncultured bacterium. RNAcentral describes it as "partial 16S ribosomal RNA". It matches the Rfam family "Bacterial small subunit ribosomal RNA", at positions 28 to 507 of the family's 1533-position model. The record is from RNAcentral.